AGCAGCCGCGGUAAUUCCAGCUCCAAUAGCGUAUAUUAAAGUUGUUGCAGUUAAAAAGCUCGUAGUUGGAUUUCGGGAUCAAUACGUUGGUCGUGCUUUCGGGUACGUACUGGCGUCAUUGGUUUCUCUCUUCUGACGAACCAUGAUGUCAUUAGUUUGGUGUUAUGGGGAGUUAGGACUGUUACUUUGAAAAAAUUAGAGUGUUUAAAGCAAGCUAACGCUUGAAUACAUUAGCAUGGAAUAAUGAAAUAGGACGUUCGAUCCUAUUUUGUUGGUUUCUAGGAUUGACGUAAUGAUUAAUAGGGAUAGUUGGGGGCAUUAGUAUUCAAUUGUCAGAGGUGAAAUUCUUGGAUUUAUUGAAGACUAACUACUGCGAAAGCAUUUGCCAAGGAUGCUUUCAUUAAUCAAGAACGAAAGUUAGGGGAUCGAAGACGAUCAGAUACCGUCGUAGUCUUAACCAUAAACUAUGCCGACUAGGGAUCGGAUGAUGUAAUUUUUAAUGA
This 503-nucleotide ribosomal RNA is filed under the name uncultured Glomus. Its description in RNAcentral is "SSU rRNA". It matches the Rfam family "Eukaryotic small subunit ribosomal RNA", at positions 569 to 1075 of the family's 1831-position model. Lineage: Eukaryota; Fungi; Glomeromycota; Glomeromycetes; Glomerales; Glomeraceae. The record is from RNAcentral.